UACAGAGGUCCCAAGCGUUGUUCGGAUUCACUGGGCGUAAAGGGUGCGUAGGUGGUCGGGUAAGUCGGAUGUGAAAUCCCCAGGCUUAACCUGGGAACUGCAUCCGAUACUGGAUGGCUUGAAUCCGGGAGAGGGAUGCAGAAUUCCAGGUGUAGCGGUGAAAUGCGUAGAUAUCUGGAGGAAUACCGGUGGCGAAGGCGGCAUCCUGGACCGGCAUUGACGCUGAGGGAGCGAAAGCCAGGGGAGCAAACGGG
Molecule: ribosomal RNA, 254 nt
Filed under: uncultured bacterium
Lineage: Bacteria
Description: partial 16S ribosomal RNA
Rfam family: Bacterial small subunit ribosomal RNA
Source: RNAcentral